This 253-nucleotide ribosomal RNA is filed under the name uncultured bacterium. RNAcentral's name for it is "partial 16S ribosomal RNA". It matches the Rfam family "Bacterial small subunit ribosomal RNA", at positions 524 to 776 of the family's 1533-position model. The record is from RNAcentral.
UACGAAGGGGGCGAGCGUUGUUCGGAAUCACUGGGCGUAAAGGGCGCGUAGGCGGCCUGCUAAGUCGGACGUGAAAUCCCUCGGCUCAACCGGGGAACUGCGUCCGAUACUGGCGGGCUUGAAUCCGGGAGAGGAAUGCGGAAUUCCAGGUGUAGCGGUGAAAUGCGUAGAUAUCUGGAGGAACACCGGUGGCGAAGGCGGCAUUCUGGACCGGCAUUGACGCUGAUGCGCGAAAGCCAGGGGAGCAAACGGG